AGUGAACGCUGGCGGUAGGCCUAACACAUGCAAGUCGAACGGCAGCACAGUAAGAGCUUGCUCUUACGGGUGGCGAGUGGCGGACGGGUUAGGAAUACAUCGGAAUCUACUUUUUCGUGGGGGAUAACGUAGGGAAACUUACGCUAAUACCGCAUACGACCUACGGGUGAAAGCAGGGGAUCUUCGGACCUUGCGCGAUUGAAUGAGCCGAUGUCGGAUUAGCUAGUUGGCGGGGUAAAGGCCCACCAAGGCGACGAUCCGUAGCUGGUCUGAGAGGAUGAUCAGACAGACUGGAACUGAGACACGGUCCAGACUCCUACGGGAGGAAGCAGUGGGGAAUAUUGGACAAUGGGCGCAAGCCUGAUACAGCCAUACCGCGUGGGUGCAGAAGGCCUGCGGGUUGUAAAGCCCUUUUGUUGGGAAAGAAAAGCAGCAGGUUAAUACCCCGCUGUUCUGACGGUACCCAAAGAAUAAGCACCGGCUAACUUCGUG
This 492-nucleotide ribosomal RNA is filed under the name uncultured bacterium. Its description in RNAcentral is "partial 16S ribosomal RNA". It matches the Rfam family "Bacterial small subunit ribosomal RNA", at positions 29 to 507 of the family's 1533-position model. The record is from RNAcentral.